AAUCAACGCUGGCGGCGUGCCUAACACAUGCAAGUCGAACGAGAUUAUCCAGCUUGCUGGAUAUGAAAGUGGCGCACGGGUGCGUAACGCGUAUGCAACCUACCUUAAUCAGGGGGAUAGCCUCUCGAAAGAGAGAUUAACACCGCAUAAAAUCACAAGCUGGCAUCAGCAAAUGAUCAAAUAUUUAUAGGAUUAAGAUG
Molecule: ribosomal RNA, 200 nt
Filed under: uncultured bacterium
Lineage: Bacteria
Description: partial 16S ribosomal RNA
Rfam family: Bacterial small subunit ribosomal RNA
Source: RNAcentral